Molecule: ribosomal RNA, 301 nt
Filed under: uncultured bacterium
Lineage: Bacteria
Description: partial 16S ribosomal RNA
Rfam family: Bacterial small subunit ribosomal RNA
Source: RNAcentral
CAGUCGCCGCGGUAAUACAGAGGGUGCGAGCGUUAAUCGGAUUUACUGGGCGUAAAGCGUGCGUAGGCGGCUUUUUAAGUCGGAUGUGAAAUCCCUGAGCUUAACUUAGGAAUUGCAUUCAAUACUGGGAAGCUAGAGUAUGGGAGAGGAUGGUAGAAUUCCAGGUGUAGCGGUGAAAUGCGUAGAGAUCUGGAGGAAUACCGAUGGCGAAGGCAGCCAUCUGGCCUAACACUGACGCUGAGGUACGAAAGCAUGGGGAGCAAACAGGAUUAGAUACCCCAGUAGUCCCUGUCUCUUAUCC